Molecule: long non-coding RNA, 169 nt
Organism: Thalassophryne amazonica
Lineage: Eukaryota; Metazoa; Chordata; Actinopteri; Batrachoidiformes; Batrachoididae
Exons: 4
Source: RefSeq, a predicted model, not a curated record
UUGGAAAUGUUAAAGUUUUCCAUAGUUGUCUAUGUGUUAGUGUGAAUGUGUUUGUUUAUCCUUAUGUGUCCAGAGUGUGCCCUGCCUCUCACCCUAUGACUCCUGGAAUAGGCUCCAGCACCCCCAUGACCCUUGACUGGAGUAAGUGGGUGUAGAAAAUUAAUGAAUG